This 308-nucleotide long non-coding RNA is filed under the name Solanum tuberosum (potato). Its description in RNAcentral is "long non-coding RNA (STUB_LNC010832)". Lineage: Eukaryota; Viridiplantae; Streptophyta; Magnoliopsida; Solanales; Solanaceae. The record is from RNAcentral.
GUCGCGUGAUUUUCACUGAUUCAAGGCGCGUAAACAUCAAAAUUUCGUCUGAUGUGGCGUCCCCAACGGUAAUAUUACUCCAAAUCAUCUAUUUAUAUUAUUUUUUUCUCCAAUUGUACCUUAACUAAGACCCCAAUUUCUCUCUUCUUUUCCAAGUUCUCUCUUCUUCAGCCUUUCUUUAAUUCUUGGCCCUUAAUACUUUCAUGUCGAGCUUCUCCAAUUCUUCCAUGGCAUCUGUGGAUGAGGUCGAUAUUGUAGGUGUGGUAAUGAAGCACUAUUAAAGACUUCAUGGACCCAAUUAAAUCCAG